UAACCAGCUUGUGUAUUGCAGUACA
Molecule: unclassified non-coding RNA, 25 nt
Filed under: Mus musculus (house mouse)
Lineage: Eukaryota; Metazoa; Chordata; Mammalia; Rodentia; Muridae
Description: oocyte_clustered_small_RNA4999
Source: RNAcentral